RNAcentral lists this ribosomal RNA (746 nucleotides) under uncultured eukaryote. Its description in RNAcentral is "SSU rRNA". It matches the Rfam family "Eukaryotic small subunit ribosomal RNA", at positions 668 to 1426 of the family's 1831-position model. The record is from RNAcentral.
UACGGGUGUGCACUGUCGUGGCCGGUCUACUUCUGGUUUCCAUCUAUACUGCUCUUAACCGGGUGCUAUAGAAUGCCAGAAAGUUUACUCUGAAAAAAUUAGAGUGCUUAAAGCAAGCCGUUGUGCUUGAAUACUGUUGCAUGGAAUAAUGGAAUAGGACCUCGGAUCUAUUUUGUUGGUUUUCGGAGUCGAGGUAAUGAUUAAGAGGGACAGACGGGGGCAUUCGUAUUGCGCCGUGAGAGGUGAAAUUCUUGGAUCGGCGCAAGACGAACAACUGCGAAAGCAUUUGCCAAGGAUGUUUUCAUUAAUCAAGAACGAAAGUCAGAGGUUCGAAGACGAUCAGAUACCGUCUUAGUUCUGACCAUAAACGAUGCCAACUGGCGAUCCGCCGUAGUCUGGCUUAAAGGACUCGGCGGGCAGCCUCCGGGAAACCUAAGUCUAUGGGUUCCGGGGGAAGUAUGGUUGCAAAGCUGAAACUUAAAGGAAUUGACGGACGGGCACCACCAGGAGUGGAGCCUGCGGCUUAAUUUGACUCAACACGGGAAAACUCACCCGGCCAGGACACCGUAACGGAUUGACAGAAUGAGAGCUCUUUCUGGAUUCGGUGGGUGGUGGUGCAUGGCCGUUCUUAGUUGGUGGAGCGAUUUGUCUGGUUAAUUCCGAUAACGAACGAGACUCUAGCCCGCUAAAUAGACGGGCGAUCCCAUUGUGGGUCGACCCGAUCAGCUUUUUAGAGGGACAAGUGG